GAUGAAGAACGUAGCGAAAUGCGAUACGUAGUGUGAAUUGCAGAACUCAGUGAAUCAUCGAAUCUUUGAACGCACAUUGCACCUCUCGGUAUUCCGGGAGGUAUGCCUGUUCGAGCGUCAUUUGUACCCUCAAGCUCUGCUUGGUGUUGGGUGUUUGUUCCGCCUCUGUGUGUGAACUCGCCUCAAAACAAUUGGCAGCCGGCGUACUUGUUUCGGAGCGCAGCACAUUUUGCGAUCCAGAUCAACGUACAGCGGCAUCCAAGAAGCCUUAUUUAACGCUCUUGACCUCGGAUCAGGUAGGGAUACCCGCUGAACUUAAGCAUAUCAAUAAGCGGAGGA
RNAcentral lists this unclassified non-coding RNA (339 nucleotides) under soil metagenome. RNAcentral describes it as "partial contains 5.8S ribosomal RNA, internal transcribed spacer 2, and large subunit ribosomal RNA". The stretch from base 1 to 120 matches the Rfam family "5.8S ribosomal RNA", at positions 35 to 154 of the family's 154-position model. The record is from RNAcentral.